This is a non-coding RNA of Xyrichtys novacula (pearly razorfish), 3553 nucleotides long. NCBI's taxonomy places the organism in Eukaryota, Metazoa, Chordata, Actinopteri, Labriformes, Labridae. The record is from the annotation of a GenBank genome assembly.
UUUUUUUGUUCUAAUGAAGUACAAAAGGUUUGAAACAUGUUCCUCAAAGGUUUUUUGACAGUGAUAUUAACCCUAACGCCAAAAACCUUAAAUCUUACCCUGGCCCCAUAGUUCAAUACCCGGGUAUUAUCUAAAGGAAGCCCUAACACCCGAAACAUUUUUUUUUUUCGUUUUUUUUUGGUCUUACUAACUCCAAGAGGUAUGAAACAUGUUCCUAAAAGAGUCUUGGACAGUGAUUUUAACCCUAACACCAAAAACCUUAAACCUUACCCUAGCCCCGUAUCCCAAUACCCGGAUAUUAUCUAAAUGAAGCCCUUACACCCCAAACUUUUUUCUAUUUUUCAUUUUUUUUGGUCUAACUAACUCAAAAAGGUUUGAAACAUGUUCCUAAAAAAGUCUUGGACAGUGAUUUUAACCCUAACCCCAAAAACCUUAAACCUGACCCUAGCCCCGUAACCCAGUACUAGGGCGUUACCUAAAGGAAGACCUAACAACCCAAAAUUAUUUUUUUCAUUUUUCCUUUUUUUCUGUCUAACUAACUCCAAAAGGUUGGAAACAUGUUCCUAUAAAGGUUUUGGAUAGUGAUCUUAACCCUAACCCCAAAAACCUUAAACCUUACCCUAGCCCUGUAACCCAAUACCCGGGUAUUACCUAAAGGAAGCCCUAACACCCCAAACAUUUUUUUUCAUUUUACGUCUUUUUUUCUAGUCUAACUAACUCCAAAAGGUUGGAAAAAAUUCCUUAAAAGGUUUUGGACAGUGAUUCUGACCCUAAACCCAAGAAACCUUAAACCUAUGAGGAAACCUAAAGGAAGCCCUAUCACAGAAAAAAAAAAUUAUUGACAUUUUUCAGGUUUUUUUGGUCUAACUAACUCCAAAAGGUAUGAAACAUGUUCCUAAAAGAGUCUUGGACAGUGAUUUUAACCCUAACACUGAAAACCUUAAACCUUACCCUACCCCCGAAACCCAAUACCCUGGGUAUUAACGAAAGGAAGACCUAACACCCCAAAAAAGUUUUUUGACAUUUUAAAUUUAUUUUUGGUCUUAUUAAUGUAGCAAUCAAAACAACCCUGUAUGUGAAAUUCACACAUUCCUCGCAGGAAAGUUUUCCUAUCUGGUCCCAGGACACAGGAUAUAAAUCUUUCCAGACUUGUUUGCACUUUCAGGUUACCUAACUGACCCGACCGGAGUUUGACCAAACCUCUGACUCUUCACGAUUGGUCAAUUCGGAGAACAGAGACAGAGUUUUAUUACCUUUCAAACUGACUCCAUUGCUGACCAUCUAAAUGAAUAAUAACACCUCAACCCAGAUCUCCCAUUUGAGAUUUACCGUCUUAAAGUGUGUGAACAUACGGACCCCAAGAUAAGGGGGGACACUGACCUCCAGACCUCGGUCGUAAAACCCUGCUCAACCAUGUACUGAUAAAAACUGCAUUCCUUUGGUGAAAGAAUACAAAUGACUGAUCAUGACAUCUUAUGCAUUCAGCAAUGUACUAAUCCGUCUAAUAAUGAAAUUUGUGUUAAAAUGCGAUGUUUCCCGUUUUUCUAUGUGCUCCAGAAGCCAAGUUAUCACUCCGACAGAAUAAAUCCUUUAUUCUUUAGUUUCUUUAGACCAACAGCUUUUCAGACUGUUUCAUGAACUUUUAAGAGUUAAAUUUAUUGACUAUGAAUAAUAACCUUACUCUAAGUAACAGAAAUGGUUUAGAAAUGUUUGGUUCAUAUUUUAGUUGUUUAUUUCGUAUUUUAACCAUUAGGUGGUUAUAAUGUCAUUGAAUAAUCUGAAUGUGAGUAUUUAGAAUCCAUUACUAAUCAUGGUGAAGUUCAUUCACUUGUGUUUACUCUUUUGUUGUUCACAGUUUCUGUGUGUACUAUCUGUUUCAUUUCAGAAUAAUUUGGCAUGUUCAAUGUGAUACUUAAAACAUAAUGAGAAUGUUUGAUGUGAUCCUACAUUUCAUUCAUAUGUGUUUAGUAUCAAAUUAUUUAUCAUGAAACCAAGCAUUCAAUGAUAUUAAUCGUAGUGAGUGAGUAUCAGUUCUGACUCUUUUACCAGCCAAAAGUAUAAGUGAGAUCAAAUAAUCAGAGAUCUGAGGUCUCCUUUGCUUGGAGACCACAUGACCCCCUCCUCUUUCUCCUCACACACACGCCAGAGACACUCCCAGUGUGAGAAGAUAAAACCAGUUGAGUGGGGUUGCUCACUCUCUUGUGCCGCGCUCUUCUCCCUCUUCUCCCCUUUUCGCUCUUCUGUCCACACCCUUCUGUGGUCCUCUUCUUUGUUUUCUCUUAGAACUUUUCCUUAGUCUUCUAAGUUUUACACCAUGUGUUGAUUCACAUUGAUUUUUCUUUAACAUCGUCUUAGUUCAAGUUUUGAAACUUCAACUUUUUGUGCGCAUAGCAAUUCAAGAUUAAGCCUUUGAUUGAAUUUUCUUUAAUUUCGCGAAGCCAUUUUUGAAAAUUAUCUCUGCUCAUCAAACCUCAUUUUUCUGAGUUAUCUGCGUGAUUUCUAAGUCACCUCUGAACGCAACCCAGCAGGCCCAGGUCAUCCUCUGUGCCAGAGUUUUUGAGUGAGACCAAAGAAGCAUCCAAACGAGCAUCCACAGGCGCCGGCUUUACUUCAGGCCCGAGUGCUACAACUCCUGGCCCAUUCUUCGGCUGACUUCAGUCGUCUUCUGAGCUGAAACGCUCGAACCGCCGGUAGCCCCGGACCUUCGGAACCUGUUCCAUCUUCUCCAAGGACCAGUCUCACUUAAGUAUGCAAACCUCCAGAGCUCCAAACAGGGCUGAUGCUGUCUCAUGCAUUCAUAACUCAGAUAUCCACUUAUUCUGGUAAUCUUAGAUUCCUCCAAAUCCACAUCAGAGUUUAUCUCGACACCAAAGUUAGUGUAGGUUAAUAUGUUAGAGCAUAUUCACUCACUAUCAUUAAUUUUAGUGCUCCUAGCCUGACUCAGAAUCUUUAUUUAUUCACCUAUUUUUAUUUAUCCUCAUUAUCUUAUCAUCAUUUAUUGCAUGUAUGUUGUACCAUCAUUUAUCCUGUAAUAAACAGAUCAUUAUUUUUCAAAGUUCUUGUCUGUUAGUGUUUUUCUUGAAGUGGAGUCCCUGAAAUGAGAAUUUCGGCUUAAGAUAUGAGAUUGAUUAAUUAAUGAUUGACUUGAUGUUUGAUUUCUGAAUUAAACUUUAGUUUUCUUUAUUUUCCCACCAUUACGGGUGGGUGGUGCCCCUUUCAACGAGUGCAUAAAUGUCAUAACUUGAGAUUAUUAAUCUCCAGACAUUUAUUAUAAAUUCAAAUCACUACAUUAACUCCAAAAGGUCUGAAACAUGUUCCUAAAAAGGUUUUGGACAGUGAUUUUAACCCUAACCCCAAAAACCUUACACCUUACCCUAGCCGUGUAACCUAAUACCCGGGUAGUGCCUAAAGAAAGCCCUAACACCCCAAACAUUUUUUUUUUUUGAUUUUUCGGGUUUUUUGGUCUAAUUUACUCCAAAAGGUUUGAAACAUGUUCCUAAAAAGGUCUUGGACAAUGACUUUAACCCUAACCCCAAAAACCUUUAACCUUACU